This is an RNA transcript of Dromiciops gliroides (monito del monte), 3729 nucleotides long. It is a transcript of the gene named YTH N6-methyladenosine RNA binding protein 1, with no coding region annotated. The record is from RefSeq and is a predicted model, not a curated record. NCBI's taxonomy places the organism in Eukaryota, Metazoa, Chordata, Mammalia, Microbiotheria, Microbiotheriidae. The transcript has 9 exons.
GGCCCCCCACCCCACCCCACCCCGGCCAGAGACGGAGCCUCGGCGCCACCCCCGCAGUCCCGGCGGGCCCAGGCCCUCAGCGCCGCGCCGCCCUUAGACGCACCGCGCGGGACCGGCCCGACCCGACCCGACCCUCGGUGCCCCCGCCUCCCGGACCCGGGGCAAGCCCUUCCCUUCUCCCCUCCCCUCCCCUCCCCUCCCCCUUCCUCCCCCUUUCCACCCCCCGGGACCUGGUUCAUGAAUUAUGUCGGCCACCAGCGUAGACCCUCAGAGAACAAAAGGACAAGAUAAUAAAGUACAAAAUGGUUCGUUGCAUCAGAAGGAUACAGUGCAUGACAAUGACUUUGAACCCUACCUUUCUGGACAGUCAAAUCAGUACUUUCAGGUUUACCAAGCCAUCUCCUUACUACAACUCUUUGAGAAUAAUAGCUAUCCCUCAAUGACUGAUCCCUACCUUUCCAGUUACUAUCCACCAUCUAUUGGAUUUCCUUAUUCACUCAGUGAAGCACCAUGGUCUACUGGUGGUGACCCACCUAUUCCAUAUCUCACCACCUAUGGACAGCUUAGUAAUGGCGACCAUCAUUUCAUGCAUGAUGCUGUUUUUGGACAACCUGGGGGUCUGGGAAACAAUAUCUAUCCACACAGAUUUAAUUUUUUCCCAGAAAACCCUGCAUUUUCAGCAUGGGGAACAAGUGGAUCCCAAGGACAACAGACUCAAAGUUCAGCUUAUGGAAGCAGUUAUAGCUACCCACCCAGUUCUUUGGGUGGUACUAUGGUUGAUGGACAGACAGGAUUUCAUAAUGACACUUUAAAUAAAGCACCUGGAAUGAAUAGCAUUGAGCAGGGAAUGGUUGGACUUAAGAUUGGUGGAGAUGUGACAACAUCUGCAGUUAAGACAGUAGGAUCUGUUAACAGUGCUGUAAUGACUGGUGCUCUUUCUGGUAAUGGUGGAUCAAGUGUAAACUUACCUGUUUCAAAACCAACAUCUUGGGCUGCCAUUGCCAGCAAACCUGCAAAACCACAACCUAAAAUGAAAACAAAAAGUGGACCUAUAAUCGGAGGUGCUUUACCUCCACCACCUAUAAAACAUAAUAUGGACAUUGGUACUUGGGAUAAUAAGGGGCCUGUGAGCAAGGCUCCCGCUCCCCAACAGAUUCCAUCACCUCAGUCUCUCCCACAGCCACAACAACAGAUUGUUCAGCCUAUUCCAACUCAGCCUCCUCCUUUGGCCCAGACACAAUAUCAGAACCCUCAGCAACCACCCCCAAACCGCUGGGUAGCCCCUCGAAACCGAAAUGCAGCUUUUGGACAAAGUGGAGGAACCAGUAGCGAUAGCAAUUCUACUGGAAAUGCCCAAACUAAUUCUGUUCCAAGUGGAGAAUCACACCCUGUCCUUGAAAAACUGAAAGCUGCCCAUAGUUAUAACCCUAAAGAAUUUGAUUGGAACCUUAAAAAUGGACGUGUGUUCAUAAUAAAGAGCUAUUCUGAGGAUGAUAUUCAUCGUUCCAUUAAAUACUCCAUUUGGUGUAGCACAGAACAUGGAAACAAACGUUUGGACAGUGCUUUCCGCUCUAUGAACAGUAAGGGUCCUGUCUAUUUGCUCUUCAGUGUCAAUGGUAGUGGACAUUUUUGUGGAGUGGCAGAAAUGAAGUCACCUGUGGACUAUGGCACUAGUGCUGGGGUCUGGUCUCAGGACAAAUGGAAGGGGAAAUUUGAUGUCAAGUGGAUCUUUGUCAAGGAUGUGCCCAACAACCAACUUCGACACAUCAGACUGGAGAAUAAUGACAACAAACCAGUUACAAACUCCCGUGACACACAGGAGGUACCCUUAGAAAAAGCUAAACAAGUGCUUAAAAUUAUUUCCACUUACAAGCACACAACCUCCAUCUUUGAUGACUUUUCUCAUUAUGAAAAGCGCCAAGAAGAAGAAGAAGUAGUACGCAAGCAACUCAGACACCAUCUAAGUUACAGAGCGGUUGUGAUCUGCAUCAGUGGAGGGCAUAUCCACACCGAUGAAAUUACAGAUCCUUGAAGUAUUAAAGUACAAGUCAUGAAAAUAGAAAAGUCAAGGAAAUGUCAGGAUAAGACUGCAUGGAUGAUCAAAGCUGGGGUCCAUGAGCAAGCAAAGUGACAUGCUGGUGAUGUAGUAUAGUCAUUCAUGUGUGAUUGUCUCCAAUCUUCAGGCUUAAUUUUUCAGCUUACCAAGCCUUUUCACUGAGUCUCAGAAGUUCAGUGACUCAUCCAUGGGUUGCACAUCUAGAACGGCAGAAUCGAAACAAACAGUAAGAAUAAAGAUAAACUAGAACUUUUCACAAACUCACCUAUGAAAAACAAAAAUGCUGGUGCUGUAUCUAGGCAUCAGGACUGACUAAAGCUUUCAGCUUCAAUGUAUCUUCUCAUACAGGGGAAAUUAAGUUGUUGCAUCUUUAAUUACUUUAUAGCUUUUUUUUUUUUUGCCCAGGUGGAUCUGCAUUAAUUUGUAUUUUUCUAUGUACCAUGCUCUAGAACCCAUUAAUAAAGUUGUAUUUUUUUAAGUCAGCUAUUAAUCAGACUGACCUAAUAAACCAUAAGACAAGCAUCCUUAAAAAACAAACAAAAAAGACAGGCCUAAUGCUUCCCAAAGAUUUUUUAUUUUAAGUUUUGGCAAAAAUUAUGUUCCUUUUCUUAUAUUCACAGUAAUUUUGUAUAUCUAUAAAUAUGAACCUUCGUAUACUCCCCCUUUUAUGGUUUUAUGGCAAACAUAAGAAACCAUGCAUUAUUUUGUCAUGUAAAACAUUCUGUUAAAUACUUUCUCUUAAAAAUACUGAAAUCAAAAGGUAAAUCAGAUUACUUUGUGCAAAUGUUAUGCCAUUUAUUUUGUCUGUGAUUAUACUUCUAAAAAGCCAGGAUUGUCAGUUUGAUUUUCUACUUAAUGGGGAAAAAUUAAAUUUUAAGUUUUCAGAUGCUGUGGAAAAUUGUUUAGAUUUAACACAAACAAAAGAAUCCUUUUCAAGUUCUGUUAACCAGAGCUUUUUGAGCGCAUUUGUUAUACCAGAUCCUGCAGAGAAUAUUACUUUCAGCCAUAAUUGCUUUAUUGUUUAUAUAGCUAAAUAAUGAUGUGAUGCUAUCAACAUGCAGGAGUUUUGGAAAUGUGUUUUAAACCUGGUUCAGCUUUCAGGUGUUCUUAGUUUUACUGCAGACAUUUUUAAUUUUUCCCUAUUCCUUAUUUGAGAAUCCUAAUGCCAUUUUAAGUUUUUUAUACCAAUAAUGCUGAGCUUUAAUAAGUAGUAACUAAUAGGAUGGAAAGUAUGAUGGAUUAUGCUCAAAUGUUUAAAAUUGACAGUGUACAUGUCUAAUUUUUUUUUUCUGUUGGAUGAGUAAAAGAAAAACUUUAAAAAACUCAAAUUUGCUGUCAUGUUUUUGUGGAAUGAGGGAACCAUUGAAGAACUCACCACCAAAUGGAAUUGGAAUUAAGCAUGAAAAUGGUGCUCAUGCCUGUUGCUCUAGCCCACUGAAUCUGCACGUGUUUAUUGUAGAGGAUCUUUACUAUAUUAGAAAGAAAAUAUCUUCUGAAAACUAUUUACUCCAAAAGACCCUCUGAUUUAAAGUUUAAACUGUAUCAUUUAGACUUGUAUUUAGAACGUAUAACUCUUGUCUCUACUAUUACUGCCUGUAUGGAGUAAUGGACAUCAGAUUAACUUUUUUCCUCUAGGAGAAUACAAGCCUUAAUAAACAAUACCUAUUUAGCAA